Suncus etruscus (white-toothed pygmy shrew) is the source of this 357-nucleotide non-coding RNA. The record is from the annotation of a RefSeq genome assembly. Lineage: Eukaryota; Metazoa; Chordata; Mammalia; Eulipotyphla; Soricidae.
AUGAAACGCUGGGGAGCUCUUCUUGUGCUCUUCUGGGUCCAAUUUUGCUUGUUGAGAGGGAUGAAGGUGGAGCAGAGUCCCUCAUUUCUGAGUCUCCAGGAGGGAACCAGUUCUACACUGAGAUGCAACUUUUCGUCCACAGCAAAUAAUGUUCAGUGGUUCUUACAGAAUCUCCAGGGAAGCCUCAUCAACCUAUUUUACAUCACUUCAGGGACAAAGGAGAGUGGAAGAUUAAGUGUCACAAUGGAAUUUAAGGAACGGUAUAGCACCCUGAGCAUCACAGCCGUCCAACUGCAGGACUCAGCCACCUACUUCUGUGCAGUGCAGCACAGUGUUCCUAAGUCAGCUGCAGCCUGA